RNAcentral lists this non-coding RNA (26 nucleotides) under Rattus norvegicus (Norway rat). Lineage: Eukaryota; Metazoa; Chordata; Mammalia; Rodentia; Muridae. The record is from RNAcentral.
UAUGCUCUGUGCACUCGUGGGACAAG